RNAcentral lists this transfer RNA (73 nucleotides) under Felis catus (domestic cat). It matches the Rfam family "tRNA". From Rfam's summary of the family: Transfer RNA (tRNA) molecules are approximately 80 nucleotides in length. Their secondary structure includes four short double-helical elements and three loops (D, anti-codon, and T loops). Lineage: Eukaryota; Metazoa; Chordata; Mammalia; Carnivora; Felidae. The record is from Rfam by way of RNAcentral.
ACCCAGCUGGCUCAGUCAGUAGAGCAUGAGACUCUUGAUCUUGGGGUUGUGAGCUCCAGCCCCACGAUGGGGC